Xyrichtys novacula (pearly razorfish) is the source of this 75-nucleotide non-coding RNA. NCBI's taxonomy places the organism in Eukaryota, Metazoa, Chordata, Actinopteri, Labriformes, Labridae. The record is from the annotation of a GenBank genome assembly.
GCCUGGGUGACAUACCUCUUUAUAGCCCAUAUGAAAAGAGCAGCUGUGGAAUGUAAAGAAGUAUGUAUCCUAGGU